UGGGCAGAAGCACCUUGCUUUAGUUAGAUGCAGGCAUGGGUUCAUAAUUUUCCAUUGGCUUGCUCUCGAUUGCUUUCUCCUCACCAGCUGGGCCAUUAGUAUUAUUCUGAGCAGGUGGCUAAUUUCUUUCCAUGCUGUCUAUAGGAAGCCAGGUGGGCCUUUGUGUUUUUUGGGUUAGGAGCAACUGACAUGCUCUUGGUUUCAUAGCUGUGAGCAGUGCUUCAAAAGCAAAAUUCUGCAGAAGAAGCAUAACUCCUGAGAGGUUUUAACCUCCCGAUGCAUUCAGUGUCCUGUCAAAUGGCAGCUUCAGUUCUGGAGGGCCCAAGAUAUGAAGUCUUCAAUGCCUCCGUGUUCUACCUCCUUGCUAGAAUGAGAAGGAUAUUCAGUAGUUCUGCAGAUUUUGAUUUUUCUAUGUAUGCUGGAAAUGAUGGCCACCAGCAGAAGAGACAGAGAUGGUACCUGGAGCUUCUCAGUUACUGGUGGCUUCGCGCAAGGCUAGCAGCAAAUAUAUGUUCAGAUUCUGCCCAAAUUCUGCCCAAAGUAAAAGGAACUCCAUGCAGAGACUGUAAAGGAAACAAAUGUGCAGAAAAAAGCAAUCAGAGAGGAAAGCUAAUGCAAGAAUGAAGUAAGAAGUGUAUUGUAUGUGCUGUAUAUGGUAAAGACUGGACAAAGCAAAUUAAACACUUUCACUAGGACUAGCAUACUCGUUAAGGAAAUACAAAACUGUCAACAAGAAGAGAAAAUGUCAUGAAAUGUCAGCAGCAGAAUAGCUACAAAAUGAAAUGGAACAUUUUCCUUGGGAUAAAAGCUUCAUAAACUCCAUGAAAUUCUUCCAAUCAAGUUCUAAAAGAACAAGAACAAAGCCUGAGGGAGAAAAUGUCAAUGCUAAUAGACAGUCAAAUGGAAAACAGUCCUAUUGGGCAGAAAGAAAAAUAAAUGUAUCCAAAGUAACA
This 953-nucleotide long non-coding RNA is filed under the name Anser brachyrhynchus (Pink-footed goose). RNAcentral's name for it is "lncRNA (ENSABRG00000022382.1)". The record is from RNAcentral. Lineage: Eukaryota; Metazoa; Chordata; Aves; Anseriformes; Anatidae.